GUAGUCUGCAACUCGACUACAUGAAGCUGGAAUCGCUAGUAAUCGCAAAUCAGAAUGUUGCGGUGAAUACGUUCCCGGGUCUUGUACACACCGCCCGUCACACCAUGGGAGUCGGAAAUGCCCGAAGUCAGUAGCCUAACCGCAAGGGGGGCGCUGCCGAAGGUAGGAUUGGCGACUGGGGUGAAGUCGUAACAAGGUAGC
This 201-nucleotide ribosomal RNA is filed under the name uncultured bacterium. RNAcentral's name for it is "partial 16S ribosomal RNA". It matches the Rfam family "Bacterial small subunit ribosomal RNA", at positions 1300 to 1500 of the family's 1533-position model. The record is from RNAcentral.